CACCACUUCACUUUUCCAUAGUUUCCAGAGAUCCAAAUAUCCAAUACCGCUUCAGUAUACAGAUCCACCGAUUUGGGUUUAAUUUGGGUCUUAACUUAAAUUUGAAGGGACUUUUAAGAAUUUUGAGGUAUAUGAUGAAAUAAAGGGGAUAUUCAACUCUUUCUUAAUGGCUUAAUCUUGUUAUUUUCACUUUGGAAUCAGAAUCGAACACAAAUUGAUUUUGACAUUUAUUCGUUUGCUGAUGAUGAAAUUCAUAGAAUUGAUUUGAGGUGAAAGUGUGGCUUUAAGCUUAAUAGGAGAAAGCUGGAAUAAGAAGUUUGCAAUUGGAGUGUUGUUUUUGAUUUGGUGAGGAUAACAUAGAAAUCAGAAUGGAAAAGAGAUACAGUCAAACUGUCACACCAGCAAUUUAUACAACGUGUUGUUCCUUCGUGAUACAUUCGUGAAAGUUUCCUUCGCGAUAUAUAGCAC
This 468-nucleotide long non-coding RNA is filed under the name Trifolium pratense (red clover). RNAcentral's name for it is "long non-coding RNA (TPRA_LNC001629)". The record is from RNAcentral. Lineage: Eukaryota; Viridiplantae; Streptophyta; Magnoliopsida; Fabales; Fabaceae.